UACGAAGGGGGCUAGCGUUGUUCGGAAUUACUGGGCGUAAAGCGCGUGUAGGCGGGUCCUUAAGUCAGGGGUGAAAUCCUGGAGCUCAACUCCAGAACUGCCUUUGAUACUGAGGAUCUUGAGUUCGGGAGAGGUGAGUGGAACUGCGAGUGUAGAGGUGAAAUUCGUAGAUAUUCGCAAGAACACCGGUGGCGAAGGCGGGUCUCUGGGCCGAUACUGACGCUGAGGAGCGAAAGCGUGGGGAGCGAACAGG
RNAcentral lists this ribosomal RNA (253 nucleotides) under uncultured bacterium. RNAcentral describes it as "partial 16S ribosomal RNA". It matches the Rfam family "Bacterial small subunit ribosomal RNA", at positions 524 to 776 of the family's 1533-position model. The record is from RNAcentral.